This 484-nucleotide ribosomal RNA is filed under the name uncultured bacterium. Its description in RNAcentral is "partial 16S ribosomal RNA". It matches the Rfam family "Bacterial small subunit ribosomal RNA", at positions 30 to 507 of the family's 1533-position model. The record is from RNAcentral.
AUUGAACGCUGGCGGCAGGCCUAACACAUGCAAGUCGAGCGGAUGAAGGGAGCUUGCUCCUGGAUUCAGCGGCGGACGGGUGAGUAAUGCCUAGGAAUCUGCCUGGUAGUGGGGGAUAACGUCCGGAAACGGGCGCUAAUACCGCAUACGUCCUGAGGGAGAAAGUGGGGGAUCUUCGGACCUCACGCUAUCAGAUGAGCCUAGGUCGGAUUAGCUAGUUGGUGGGGUAAAGGCCUACCAAGGCGACGAUCCGUAACUGGUCUGAGAGGAUGAUCAGUCACACUGGAACUGAGACACGGUCCAGACGCCUUCGGGAGGCAGCAGUGGGGAAUAUUGGGCAAUGGGCGAAAACCUUAUCCAGCCAUGCCGAGUGUGUGAAGAAGAUCUUCGGAUUGUAAAGCACUUUAAGUUGGGAGGAAGGGCAGUAAGUUAAUACCUUGCUGUUUUGACGUUACCAACAGAAUAAGCACCGGCUAACUUCGUG